GGCGGCGGCGGCGGCUCGCUCGGGGCGGGUAAGGGCGGGACUGGCCCGCUGCGGGCGGACUGGGGAACCGCUGAGCUAACGGGUCCGGACGCCGACGGAGGCGGCGGCUUUCUCUGCACCGGCGGCGGCGGCGGGAGCGGCGAGCAUGGCCCGCGCGGCGCCCGGAGCUGACUGAGGUGCGCGGGCGGGCGGGCGGGAUAUGAGGCGCCCCGGGCCCCUCGCUGCUACGAACCCCUUCCGCGCGGGCAGCUGGCUCGACCAGCGGCCCAGACCCUCCCGGUCCACCCCGGCAACUUCCCCUGGGUCGGGGCCCUGGGAUCCCCCGUGGGGGCGGUGGUCCUCUUGCCCUGGCCUCCCUCCCGGUUGCCCGCCUUCUGCUCCUGCACCUCCAGCCGUUCCCACGCGCGGCUCUUGCACCCCGUGGAGGCAGUCCCCAGCCCCGGGAAGUGCUCCGUGCCCCAGUCCCGACUUCAGUCCACUGCCUAGUUCGCACCCGCAGCCCCGCGCGCGCUCCUGGCCUGUGCACUCCUUGGAGACCCUCGCCCCGCUCCUCCUGGCCACAGGCUGUCUUUGCACCAUCAGCAGCUCUCUCCUCUUUCCCCUACCUGGCACUGCCCCCGAGCCAUCCACAGUGGCCCAGUUCUCUCUGACGAGACCAACAGCCUGACCUCCUUCCCACUUCGGAGAAACCGAGGCUUGGCACAAACCAGGAACUUGGCCAAGUCCAUGCCCCAGCCCUGUGGGGCUAGUCUGAGCCCUUGCCUUGACAUGAAAGAGUCAUUUCUUCCCUCCAGUCAUUCCUCUGUGACUGGACCAAACUUCCCAGUUGCCUGCUGCAGCUCUGUGCUGAGCUCACUUUAGUCUCCCUGUUGGCGUUUUCCCACUUCUGUUUCCCCCUCCUCCUUCCUGUAUUUAAUUUCUGGCCUCCUUUGCCUGUAGAGUCCCCCACCCAUCACUCAUUUACUCAAGUUAGCCUUUUGAUUUCUGUUUCUUGCCGAGUGCAUCCAUCUCCCAUCUUGCCUCUUGCUUUCAGCUACAGUAAAACACUGAAGAACGGAGUCUAAGGUGGUGUUGGGGGAANNNNNNNNNNNNNNNNNNNNNNNNNNNNNNNNNNNNNNNNNNNNNNNNNNNNNNNNNNNNNNNNNNNNNNNNNNNNNNNNNNNNNNNNNNNNNNNNNNNAACACUGAAGAACGGAGUCUAAGGUGGUGUUGGGGGAAAGGGGAGAGGUGCUGGUGGUGGGAAGGGAGUGGCAGCCUCUUUCAGCUAAAGCUGCGAGAGGGCUCAGGGCACUCUGGAGUCCCUCAGUCAGUCAGUCCUAGCCAAUGAUGCACACUCCCAUCUUGUCUCUGGGACAGUUGUCUGGAAGCUGGUUGGUCAUUUCUUCCUGUCAUUAUGCGUGGUGGACUACACCAUCCCUCCGAGAUGGAGGGAACCUCCUACAUUGGUGGAGAUGGCGGCAUAAGAGAAGUCUGGGAGACCACACCCCUAACCCUCAUCUUCCUUCUGCUGCUAACUUUGGAGAUGGUUGCUGGCAAAGGGAAGGAUGCUGUUAGGUGCCCCCUGAGCUCUUUGUGGAGGAAGACGUAGUGACUGUAGGUGGUGAUCUCAAGUUUAGUCAUGGUGUUCAGGGUUUGAAGGAAAGAGGGAGCCAGGGCUCAGAGAGGUGGUGGAAACUUGCCUGUAUCGGGUUUUUUUGUUUUGUUUUGUUUAGUUUUGUUUUCUUAUCUUCCUUCGGGAGAUUUACCUAUGGGUCUGUCCCUUCCUAGCCCAGUUUUCAGCUUCUCAGUGGGAAGUUGGGGGAGGGAGGGAAAUCUAUGAGCCAUUACGAAGGCAGGCUCUGGGAGUUCCAUUGGGGUCCUGAAUGAGCAAUCUUGAUCUGAACCAGAUGGUUCCCUGCUUCAGCACCCCCUCUCUCAUCCUCCCCCUUGGCUGUGAAUAGGACAUCUUUAACCCUGUAACUUGAGAAUGGAGGUAGGGAGGCCAGGGGGCCAACUGUCUGUGUGCGUGUUUAUGUCUGCAUCUGUGCUCACCCUGUGAGCUUAAAGGGCCUGUGGGAGUGACCCUGCGUGGGAGUGCAGUGCCAGGAUGUGCUGUGUGGCUUGCUCACAGCCCUCUAGGAACUUUCCCAGCCCAGACCCCACAUGGGGUCAACUUCUCAGCUGCUAAGAACCACUGGGUGGUUCUCAUGGUGUGGCCUCAUGGUCCAUUUCCCCACAAGGCAAACCUCUGGACCUGAAAGAUGCCUCGGGCGAGGAUCACUGUUCUUUGGAAAACUACCUGCAGUUACAUGGAGUCUCAAAGAGCAGCCUGAGGUGGGGUGGGUUUCCUAGAAUUGGAGUUCCCGCUUCCCAGCUUGGAAAGAGAGGAGCUGGCGAGGGGAGGAGGAGCUGAUUCCUUUACCUCAUUCUGUACCCCAUCCUGCCUUGUGUAUUGUGUGCUUGAUUUUGACCUCUUCCNNNNNNNNCCCCCCCCCCCCCCCGCCCCGUUAGACUGUGAAAGUCCUUCAGAUGUGUCCUCGUUUCUGAAAUAUCACCCUGCGGCUCGGUCCUUGGCACAGAAUAGGUGUUCAGUAAUCCCCCUGAAGAGCUGUGUAAGGCGCAGUUUGCUGGGCCCCACUUCCAGACAUUUCUGAUUCAGGCAGUCUGGGUGUGGCCUGAGAUUUUAUUUCUGUACGGCUUCCUGACCAUAGCAUUUGAGAACCACUGGUUUGGGGCCAGGAGAGUUGCCUGGGCAAUUAAUCCAGGCCCAUGUAAAGUCUUCAGAGAGGCUGCCCCCAACCUGGUUUCCCCACCCAGGACUGUUCUGGCAGCUUCCCUGGGCUGGUCUUUUCCUGCCCUUCCCAUGCUUUCCAGUGUUGGCUAGAUUAAUGGUUGGGGUGACUUGAGGGCCUGAGCCCCCAGUCCGCCUGUAACCACAUAGCAGACACUGUGCUGUGGCCAUUUGAAGGAAGGACCUCACCACCCCCCACCCCCCCGCCCCCGGCUCCAAAGCAGGACGUUUAGGCACCAGGGCUUUGGGGAAGGACAUGGGGAAGCAGACCCUGAACCAGGUGCUCGUCUGCCCUGUCCCUCAGACUGAGUAGGUUGGGUGCUGGCCGUGGCUGCACACUGGACAGGGUGCCUGGAACUCUGAAAUUGAGACAAACAGGAGGAACCCCUUACAUUGUGCUUUAACUUUGCCACGCGUUUUUUCAUGUACUGUUUUUCAGGAGGUUUAUAAGGCAGAGGUAGACCCAGGUGGGGUUACCAAGAAACGGAGAUGCUCUGUGGGUCACACAACAGGCCCAGGGCUCAUGAUUUCAACCCGCCAAAAGAGCAUCUGCUAACCCAGAAGCUGUGAAUAGCUGGAGUGACAGCUGCUGUUCCUGAGUGGUUACUUCUAGCCAGGCACCUGGCUGGAUGUUCUUGCAAGUAGGCCCGUCACAUUCUCACAGCAGUGUUGCAGGGUUAGCAUUAUUGUCACUUUUUCACAGAUGAACUGAGGCUUACAGAACUUACGAGAUUUGCCCAUAAACUCAGCUGGUAAGUGGAGGAUAUGGAAGCCAGACGGGGUCUUUCUGACCCCAUGCUUUUUGUCCCUCACUGCCUGUGUUGCCCAGGAAACAUGUAAUUGGCCUUUGAGUUGUCUGCCCACAAAGCCUGGUGAAUUUAUUGAGUCUGGAACUCUGCCAGCUGUUGUGAAGGAGAAGAUGACCAAGUCUCUGUCCACCGGGAGCGGGGUAAGACAGGCACUCUGAUGUCCGCGGUGGGAGGCAGAAGGGGCAGCCAGGGGCUUGUAGGUUUAGAGGAGGAUUCCCCAAAGAGGGCUCAGAAGGGGACUCUGGGUUGGGCCCUGAAGGGGAAGGCAGAGUUCCAGCAGUGCCUGCAGGCCGGGGAGCGUACUGGCCAGCAGGGGAAGGAGGGACCAUAACGGCGCUUUCAGGGCAUUUUCCCUUUUGGUUGGAGCAUAGGAGAGGUAUUUUAAAAAGAAGUUUGGUUACAAGCAACACCUUGCUGACUUUGGUAGGAAAGGACUUCAUUGGAAGGCUAUGGUAACUCCUAGAAUCUGAGGAAUGACUGAGACCCGAGUCCCCUGCAGGGUCUUUUUUAAAAAGCAGUUAUUCGUCUUUCUUUUCUUCUAAAUAGGUCUUUAAGAAAUUGCUUAUUUAUUUUAUGUUUGGUUGUGCUGGCUCUCCAUUGCUGUGCGCAGGCUCCUCUCGCUGCAGGGGCUGCUCUUGUGGAGAACAGGCUCUAGGGCGUGCGGGCUUCAGUAGUUGUGGUGCAUGGGCUUGGUUGCUCCGUGGCAGGUGGAAUCUUCCCAGACCAGAGAUCGAACCCGUGUACCCUCCAUUGGCAGGCAGAUUCCUAAGCACUGGACCACCAGGGAAGGCCCUCUCCAGGGUCUUGGAGUAGGUAUGUCAGGAGCCAAAGGCCAGCCUCUUCAGGGUACCACUGGGUCCAGGAUAACUGUUCCAGCUGUACUCUGGGAUUUUGUCACCAUAGGUUGGGAGUCGUGUCCCAGGGAGGAGAUGUCUGGUUGGUCCAGACUGGGCCAUCCUCCUCCCUUGGCCGGGGAAGGGCUGGUACAGUAGGCAGUCCCCCCAAACCGUAUCCAGAAAUUGGAGUCCCCAGGAGAAGAGGCAGUAGAGAUUGCAAGAGAUCAAUCCCAGCACAGUGUUCAGUGAGGACUUGACUCGGCAGACGGCAGAGAGAGGGCUUGGUUCCGACAAGUUUCUGAGCAGGCAGAGGGCAGGCAGGUAGCAGGGUAUGGCUGGGUCAUAAGGGGACAAGGAAAGAAGGGAGGGAGGAAAUGGAAAACUAGUUAGGGUCCAGGUAAGAAGUAAUGAAGACUGGAAGCUGGCAGUAAAAAUGGAAAGAAGGGACUGAUUCUAGAGAACUGUGAAAGUGGAUAUCUUCUGGAACAGACAGUCAGUUGACUGGGGUUAGACAACUUCCUUGAGAAGGCAAUGGCACCCCACUCUAGUACUCUUGCCUGAAAAAUCCCAUGNNNNNNNNNNNNNNNNNNNNNNNNNNNUAUGGGGUCGCACAGAGUGAGACAUGACUGAAGCGACUUAGCAGCAGCAGACACUUCCUUGCCUGGGUGAUGAGCUCAGGUCCUUUAGCUGAAGUGGAGCAGUCAGGA
Molecule: long non-coding RNA, 5121 nt
Filed under: Capra hircus (goat)
Lineage: Eukaryota; Metazoa; Chordata; Mammalia; Artiodactyla; Bovidae
Description: lncRNA (ENSCHIG00010018752.1)
Source: RNAcentral